This 253-nucleotide ribosomal RNA is filed under the name uncultured bacterium. Its description in RNAcentral is "partial 16S ribosomal RNA". It matches the Rfam family "Bacterial small subunit ribosomal RNA", at positions 524 to 776 of the family's 1533-position model. The record is from RNAcentral.
UACAGAGGUCUCAAGCGUUGUUCGGAUUCAUUGGGCGUAAAGAGCGUGUAGGCGGCCAUACAGGUCCGUUGUGAAAACUGGAGGCUUAACCUCCAGACGUCGAUGGAAACCGUAUGGCUAGAGUCCGGAAGAGGAGAGUGGAAUUCCUGGUGUAGCGGUGAAAUGCGCAGAUAUCAGGAAGAACACCCGUGGCGAAGGCGGCUCUCUGGGACGGUACUGACGCUGAGACGCGAAAGCGUGGGGAGCGAACAGG